This 64-nucleotide ribosomal RNA is filed under the name Perca fluviatilis (European perch). Lineage: Eukaryota; Metazoa; Chordata; Actinopteri; Perciformes; Percidae. The record is from RNAcentral.
GAUCCAUAUGGUGGCGGCGACUCUGGACGCGCGCAGGGCCCUUCUCGCGGAUCUCCCCAGCUGC